AAAAUCCAACCCAAAAUCCGCCCCAAAAAUCGGCUCCAAAAUCCCCAAAAUCCGCCCCAAAAAUCGGCUCCAAAAUCCCCAAAAUCUGCCCCAAAGUCCCAAAAAUCUGCCCCAAAAUCCACCCCAAAAUCCAACCCAAAAAUCCGCUCCAAAAUCNNNNNNNNNNACCCCAAAAUCCAACCCAAAAUCCACUCCAAAAUCCAACCCAAAAUCACGAAAUCCACCCCAAAAUCCACCCCAAAAUACCAAAAUCCACCCGAAAAUCCGCCCCAAAAUCGAACCCAAAAUCCUGAAAUUCCAACCCAAAAUUCACUCCAAAAAUCCAACCCGAAAUCCCCCAAAAUCCACCUCAAAAUCCAUCCUGGGAUCCUCCAGGUGCCCCCAGGUGUAUUUUGGGCACCCCCAGGUGCAUUUUGGGCACCCCCAGGUGUAUUUUGGGUGCCCCCAGAUGUGUUUUGGGUGCCCCCAGGUGUAUUUUGGGUGCCCCCAGGUGUAUUUUGGGCACCCCCAGGUGUAUUUUGGGCACCCCCAGGUGUAUUUUGGGUGCCCCCAGGUGUAUUUUGGGUACCUCAGGUGUAUUUUGGGUGCCCCCAGGUGUAUUUUGGGUGCCCCCAGGUGUAUUUUGGGCACCCCCAGGUGUGUUUUGGGUGCCCCCAGGUGCAUUUUGGGUGCCCCCAGGUGCAUUUUGGGUGCCCCCAGGUGUAUUUUGGGUACCCCCAGGUGUAUUUUGGGUGCCCCCAGGUGUAUUUUGGGUACCUCAGGUGUAUUUUGGGUGCCCCCAGGUGUAUUUUGGGUGCCCCCAGGUGUAUUUUGGGCACCCCCAGGUACAUUUUGGGUGCCCCCAGGUGUAUUUUGGGUACCCCCAGGUGUAUUUUGGGUGCCCCCAGGUGUAUUUUGGGUUCCCCCCAGGUGUAUUUUGGGCACCCCCAGGUGUAUUUUGGGUGCCCCCAGGUGUAUUUUGGGCACCCCCAGGUGUAUUUUGGGCACCCCCAGGUGCAUUUUGGGCACCCCCAGGUGCAUUUUGGGUGCCCCCAGGUGUAUUUUGGGUGCCCCCAGGUGUGUUUUGGGUGCCCCCAGGUGCAUUUUGGGUGCCCCCAGGUGUAUUUUGGGUACCCCCAGGUGUAUUUUGGGUACCCCCAGGUGUAUCCCAGGUGUGCCCAGGUGUGCCCAGGUGUGCCCAGGUGUGCCCAGGUGUGCCCAGGUGUAUUUUUGGGUGUCCCCAGGUGUAUUUUGGGUACCCUGGGCUCUAUCCCAGGUGUAUUUUGGGUGCCCUGAGGUGUAUUUUUGGUACCCUGAGAUGCCCCCAGGUGUGCCCAGGUGUGCCCAGGUGUGCCCAGGUGUGCCCAGGUGUGCCCAGGUGUAUUUUUUCUCCCCCCAGGUGCAUUUCACCCCCGAGUGCCGCUUCAAGGUGUGCCCUGGGUGUCCCUGGGCUCUGUCCCAGGUGUAUUUUGGGUACCCCCAGGUGUAUUUUGGGUACCCCCAGGUGUAUUUUGGGCACCCCCAGGUGUAUUUUGGGUGCCCCAGGUGUGUUUUGGGUGUGCCCAGGUGUAUUUUGGGUGUAUUUUUGGUACCCCCAGGUGUAUUUUGGGUGCCCUGAGGUGUAUUUUGGGUACCCCCAGGUGCCCCCAGGUGUAUCCCAGGUACCCCCAGGUGUAUCCCAGGUGUGCCCAGGUGUGCUCAGGUGUGCCCAGGUGUGCCCAGGUGU
This 1705-nucleotide long non-coding RNA is filed under the name Chloebia gouldiae (Gouldian finch). RNAcentral's name for it is "Erythrura gouldiae (Gouldian finch) lncRNA (ENSEGOG00005010198.1)". Lineage: Eukaryota; Metazoa; Chordata; Aves; Passeriformes; Passeridae. The record is from RNAcentral.